RNAcentral lists this ribosomal RNA (292 nucleotides) under uncultured bacterium. RNAcentral describes it as "partial 16S ribosomal RNA". It matches the Rfam family "Bacterial small subunit ribosomal RNA", at positions 505 to 796 of the family's 1533-position model. The record is from RNAcentral.
GUGCCAGCCGCCGCGGUAAUACGUAGGGAGCAAGCGUUGUCCGGAAUCAUUGGGCGUAAAGCGCGCGUAGGUGGCUUCGUAAGUCCGUUGUGAAAGUCAAAGGCUCAACCUUUGAAAGCCGAUGGAUACUGCGGAGCUAGAGUACGGAAGAGGCGAGUGGAAUUCCUGGUGUAGCGGUGGAAUGCGCAGAUAUCAGGAGGAACACCAAUAGCGAAGGCAGCUCGCUGGGACGUUACUGACACUGAGGCGCGAAAGCGUGGGGAGCGAACAGGAUUAGAUACCCCAGUAGUCC